GACGAACGCUGGCGGCGUGCCUAAUACAUGCAAGUAGAACGCUGAAGGAGGAGCUUGCUUCUCCGGAUGAGUUGCGAACGGGUGAGUAACGCGUAGGUAACCUGCCUGGUAGCGGGGGAUAACUAUUGGAAACGAUAGCUAAUACCGCAUAAUAGUAGAUGUUGCAUGACAUUUGCUUAAAAGGUGCGAUUGCAUCACUACCAGAUGGACCUGCGUUGUAUUAGCUAGUUGGUGGGGUAACGGCUCACCAAGGCGACGAUACAUAGCCGACCUGAGAGGGUGAUCGGCCACACUGGGACUGAGACACGGCCCAGACUCCUACGGGAGGCAGCAGUAGGGAAUCUUCGGCAAUGGACGGAAGUCUGACCGAGCAACGCCGCGUGAGUGAAGAAGGUUUUCGGAUCGUAAAGCUCUGUUGUAAGAGAAGAACGAGUGUGAGAGUGGAAAGUUCACACUGUGACGUAUCUACCAGAAAGGC
RNAcentral lists this ribosomal RNA (478 nucleotides) under Streptococcus mitis. RNAcentral describes it as "bacterial SSU rRNA". It matches the Rfam family "Bacterial small subunit ribosomal RNA", at positions 28 to 492 of the family's 1533-position model. Lineage: Bacteria; Bacillati; Bacillota; Bacilli; Lactobacillales; Streptococcaceae. The record is from RNAcentral.